Macaca mulatta (Rhesus monkey) is the source of this 584-nucleotide non-coding RNA. The record is from RefSeq and is a predicted model, not a curated record. Lineage: Eukaryota; Metazoa; Chordata; Mammalia; Primates; Cercopithecidae.
GAAAAGGAGUGGGUGGUGGGGAUAUGUGUGGUAGGGUCUCUGGCUUAGGAAGCUGAGUCUCCGUAGUGCCAUUCAUACAGAUGGAAUGAGGAAGAAGCAGUUUCAUGGGAAAGUAGUAAAUUUGAUUGAGUAACAAGAGCUUGGGAGAUCCAAAAGAGAGCUGGGUUUGCAGCUCAGGAGUCCAGGAGAGAGUCAGACUGAAAACAUAAGUCCAUGGAUAGUCAUUGAAGCCACAGGAGUGAAGAUCACCUGUGGGAAACACAGAUGGAAGAGAACGUUCCAGCAAUGAAGCAUAGUCUAUACAAUUAAUUGCUGCAAAGAGCUCAGAACAGAGUGAUCUGUGAGAUCUUCCCGCUACUCCCAUGUCGGGAGAGAGAGAGAAUGAAGACCCAUUGCUGUAGAGGAACAAACUGAACGUGUUGAAGGUCCUGCAAGGCCAGUGUGGCUGGAACGCAGACACAACGCCAGGAGGAACAGGAGAUGGCGCUGAAAAGAGAGGCAGGAGUCAGAUCUCAAGGGAACUGUCACUGCAGUGUUGCAGACCUCUUUGAAUACACCAUGAGCACUGUGGAUUCUCGCCUCUG